Molecule: ribosomal RNA, 451 nt
Filed under: uncultured bacterium
Lineage: Bacteria
Description: partial 16S ribosomal RNA
Rfam family: Bacterial small subunit ribosomal RNA
Source: RNAcentral
AGCGAACGCUGGCGGCAUGCCUAACACAUGCAAGUCGCACGGGGGGGCUUCGGCCUCCCAGUGGCGGACGGGUGAGGAACGCGUAGGGACCUGUCGAGGGGUGGGGGAUAACCGCGGGAAACUGCGGCUAAUACCGCAUGACGCCGCGGCGUGACAGCCGGGGCCAAAGGCGAAAGCCGCCCGCCGAGGGGCCUGCGUCCGAUUAGCUGGUUGGCGGGGUAGCGGCCCACCAAGGCGUCGAUCGGUAGCUGGUCUGAGAGGGUGAUCAGCCACACCGGGACUGAGACACGGCCCGGACUCCUACGGGUGGCAGCAGUGGGGAAUAUUGGACAAUGGGCGCAAGCCUGAUCCAGCAAUGCCGCGUGGGUGAAGAAGGUCUUCGGAUUGUAAAGCCCUUUCGGCGGGGACGAUGGUGACGGUACCCGCAGAAGAAGCCCCGGCUAACUUCGUG